CGCGCAGACUAGGAUGCGAAAAAGGCCUCGAAGAUGGCUUAAUGGUUACGUUAGGCAUAAGGGAAACCCAGCGACGUAGUGGGGUGUAGUUGAAAUGGGGGGAGGUGGAAAUCUUCCUCCAAUCGGUUCAUCGUCUACAACAAAAUCAAUAUCAGAUGAGCGACUCGAAAGCUCAGAUGGAUAGACUAGCCGGCUUAUGAAGAAGGAUUUACCUAGCUCAGGAAAAUGAAAAGAGGACAAGUAGUUCCAACUAGGACAGCACCGG
RNAcentral lists this long non-coding RNA (265 nucleotides) under Salvia miltiorrhiza (redroot sage). RNAcentral's name for it is "long non-coding RNA (SMIL_LNC004321)". The record is from RNAcentral. Lineage: Eukaryota; Viridiplantae; Streptophyta; Magnoliopsida; Lamiales; Lamiaceae.